UGGAGGAAGCCUGUCACUGUGGGGCAGACGUUGAGAUCUCCUUGUUCAAGCUACUUCUAAACACAGUCUCCUUCUGCUGCCUUCGGAUCAAGAAACCCUGCCAGGAAGGUCAGAAGUUCAAGGUUGCCUUUGGCUACAAACUUGCAGGGUAAUGGCCGCUUCUGGAAGGCUCGACCCCGGCUUGAGGAGGUCUCCACCGGUGCUCUUAGGCCUGAGCAAGUCCAGCCCUCGACGGCUUCCUGUUUCUCCUGCUCUGAGCUCUGGGCUCCAACACCACACUCCCCACUCGGCAUGCACGCCCUGCACAGAAGCCCAAAAUGUUAAUGUCAGUGAUGGAUUGCCUAGGAAUAAAUUUAUCCGCAACCGGAAGCCUGUUCAACCGUGACUCCCAUGCCUCAGAAACAAGUUCAUGCCUCGGAGCAUGGAUCAGGCCUCAGCGUUUCCAGACUCAGGGAAGGACCCAGUCUCUUCGCAGUCAAGCUUCCUCAACAGGUACCCUGGAUGCCCAUGCCAGAAUGGCACCGCCUUCUGAGCAAGGACCCCUCCUUCUAGCCAGGCAGCCUCUCGCUCUACAGGUGUUCCGGCCACGCCCGCCCACCCGCCCUCGGUCCCCAUCCCAGCAUGGUGCGCACGCAUCCCUAGCCAGUGUUUCCCCUAUGCUGGUCUUGCCACCGCCCCUGCUUCUUUUUUUCCAGAGGCAGGCUCUGCAUUUGCUGAAGCUUUCGCCAUCAAAUAAA
Molecule: long non-coding RNA, 737 nt
Organism: Apodemus sylvaticus (European woodmouse)
Lineage: Eukaryota; Metazoa; Chordata; Mammalia; Rodentia; Muridae
Exons: 3
Source: RefSeq, a predicted model, not a curated record